GGGGCAAACAUUUUAAAAUUAAUGGAUCUAUUUUUGGACCUUGUAAAAGAUAUUGCUGGUAUAAAACGUUGAUAUAAGUUUCAUAAAAUUCUUACAUGACUGAGCUAAUAAAGCUAUUUUCUAUAUAAUGAAUAUUUCCAGGGGUGACUCAAAUAAUGGACAACUAAUCUUUGAACUUAUCCAAGACAAUGGUGAUAUAAAC
Molecule: long non-coding RNA, 202 nt
Filed under: Mytilus galloprovincialis (Mediterranean mussel)
Lineage: Eukaryota; Metazoa; Mollusca; Bivalvia; Mytilida; Mytilidae
Source: RNAcentral